GACGAACGCUGGCGGCGUGCUUAACACAUGCAAGUCGAACGGAAAGGCCCUGCUUUUGUGGGGUGCUCGAGUGGCGAACGGGUGAGUAACACGUGAGUAACCUGCCCUUGACUUUGGGAUAACUUCAGGAAACUGGGGCUAAUACCGGAUAGGAUCUCCUGCUGCAUGGUGGUGGUUGGAAAGUUUCGGCGGUUGGGGAUGGACUCGCGGCUUAUCAGCUUGUUGGUGGGGUAGUGGCUUACAAAGGCUUUGACGGGUAGCCGGCCUGAGAGGGUGACCGGCCACAUUGGGACUGAGAUACGGCCCAGACUCCUACGGGAGGCAGCAGUGGGGAAUAUUGCACAAUGGGCGGAAGCCUGAUGCAGCAACGCCGCGUGCGGGAUGACGGCUUUCGGGUUGUAAACCGCUUUCGACUGUGACGAAGAGUGAGUGACGGUAAUGGGUAAAGAAGCACCGGCUAACUACGUG
This 468-nucleotide ribosomal RNA is filed under the name uncultured bacterium. Its description in RNAcentral is "partial 16S ribosomal RNA". It matches the Rfam family "Bacterial small subunit ribosomal RNA", at positions 28 to 507 of the family's 1533-position model. The record is from RNAcentral.